Molecule: ribosomal RNA, 385 nt
Filed under: uncultured bacterium
Lineage: Bacteria
Description: bacterial SSU rRNA
Rfam family: Bacterial small subunit ribosomal RNA
Source: RNAcentral
AUUGAACGCUGGCGGCAUGCCUUACACAUGCAAGUCGAACGGCAGCGGGCCUUCGGGUGCCGGCGAGUGGCGAACGGGUGAGUAAUGCAUCGGAACGUGCCAUUGAGUGGGGGGAUAACGUAGCAAAAGUUACGCUAAUACCGCAUAUUCUGUGAGCAGGAAAGCAGGGGGAUCGCAAGACCUUGCGUUCUGGGAGCGGCCGAUGUCGGAUUAGCUAGUUGGUGGGGUAAAAGCCUACCAAGGCGACGAUCCGUAGCGGGUCUGAGAGGAUGAUCCGCCACACUGGGACUGAGACACGGCCCAGACUCCUACGGGAGGCAGCAGUGGGAAUUUGGACAAUGGGCGGAAGCCUGAUCCAGCCAUGCCGCGUGAGUGAAGAAGGCCU